This 407-nucleotide ribosomal RNA is filed under the name uncultured bacterium. RNAcentral's name for it is "partial 16S ribosomal RNA". It matches the Rfam family "Bacterial small subunit ribosomal RNA", at positions 30 to 526 of the family's 1533-position model. The record is from RNAcentral.
AUUGAACGCUGGCGGCAGGCCUAACACAUGCAAGUCGAGCGGAGCGGCGGACGGGUGAGUAAUGCCUAGGAAUCUGCCUGGCAGUGGGGGAGAACGACCGGAAACGGGCGCUAAUACCGCACACUAGCAGUUGAGUCUAGGUCGGAUUAGCUAGUUGGUGGGGUAAAGGCCUACCAAGGCGACGAUCCGUAACUGGUCUGAGAGGAUGAUCAGUCACACUGGAACUGAGACACGGUCCAGACUCCUACGGGAGGCAGCAGUGGGGAAUAUUGGACAAUGGGCGAAAGCCUGAUCCAGCCAUGCCGCGUGUAUGAAGAAGGUCUUCGGAUUGUAAAGCACUUUAAGUUGGGAGGCGUUACCAGCAGAAUAAGCACCGGCUAACUCCGUGCCAGCAGCCGCGGUAAUUC